Dreissena polymorpha is the source of this 1376-nucleotide long non-coding RNA. RefSeq lists it as uncharacterized. NCBI's taxonomy places the organism in Eukaryota, Metazoa, Mollusca, Bivalvia, Myida, Dreissenidae. The transcript is spliced from 3 exons. The record is from RefSeq and is a predicted model, not a curated record.
UGUUUCUACUACAUGGUCAUGAAUCAAAGUGAACAACAAAGAUACAAAUAUGAGAUGGAUGUAUUGACACUUGUCAUUUGAAGUUAAGUACGAGGCUGUUUGAUCAGUGGUGUGUAACCAGCUAUGAAGUGGCCAUAACCAACGUCACUUACCAUCGAUAUUAUGUACUUACAAGGACUAGUGCAGAAACUGCACAUAGAAAAGAGAGAGACGAAUGUGUUACAGUUCAUCAGGAAUUACUGAAGUAAAUAAUUCCACCCAAUUCUGAAAAAGAAAAAGCCUCAUCAGGAAUUUUUUAUAAAAUCUGCAAACCAACAAAAUGAAAGCCUAUCUAGAACUGACCUGAUGCAAAGUGGUGGACCUUUUGCAGUCACCAUGAUGGAUACCUAAAAUGUCACCAUGGCAACACAUUUGCUGGUGCUAGGAUAGUUGUCGUGGCUACAGUCUGGAGCGUGGAUGCAAGAUGCCUGGACACCAGACCUGGUAAGUGCUACUGGAGAUGGUACGUGGACUGUGGACUUUAGUACACCGUAUGUUUUAGUCUGAGAUUAUUCAGUGGUCUGUGUCCAGUCACUGUCAUUUAUCAUGCAAUUUAAAAAUAUCGGCAAUGCACUACAAAUGAGAAGAUGUGUGGCUUAUAAAGUCUGUUUGAAUACCAGUGGGGUUUUUUCGUUCAAAUUCUUGGUAGGUAUUGGGAUCCAUUCCCAAUUAAAAAAAGUAUACAUGUAUAUCUUUUUCCAAAUGGGAACUUAAAAGUUCUAAUCAAAGUUUUUUCACACACAAAAAUAUUAAUUAAUUAUUUCUGUAAGACCUUAACAUUAAGUUCAGCUUCCAUCAAGCUCUUUGACUUGAACUUAGUAAAAAUUACAUUGAAACCACUUUUAUUCUCAAUUUAAAGUAUUUAUUAGCAAAGCAAGAGAAAUUGUCUUAAGAAAGCAUGAAUUGUAAAUUGUACAUAGCUGCAUUUUAUGACUAUCUUUACAAGUAAAUACACCCACAUAACUGAAUACCAGGAUUUAUUACCUUUUCAUUUUUGUCUUACUUAAAAGAUUAAAAUACACAGUUAAGAUGUUUACAUGCCCAAACUGUUGCUCAAACAAUGUUUAGGGCAUGUUAAGUUUGAACAUGCAUGCCCCACUUACUUGCCUUCUUUUCUUUAAAAAUUCUUCAAAGAGUCUCUAUGGAAUAUUGUUAAUGAAUGCAGUGUUUUUCUCACCAUUUUAGGAAUGGGGCCAGGUUGCUUCAGAUUGGGAACAAUUGCGGCGUUUUGACUAAAAUUUGGAAAUUCAUAUUGUUGUUGUAUCGCUACAAAUGCUUCAAAAUUGAGAAUACAGGAGUUUCCAGUAUUAUAUUUACUAAGGUUGAACUUACAUGGA